AGUGAACGCUGGCGGUAGGCCUAACACAUGCAAGUCGAACGGCAGCACAGGAGAGCUUGCUCUCUGGGUGGCGAGUGGCGGACGGGUGAGGAAUACAUCGGAAUCUGCCCAGUCGCGGGGGAUAACGCAGGGAAACUUACGCUAAUACCGCAUACGACCUUCGGGUGAAAGAGGGGGAUCGCAAGACCUCUCGCGAUUGGAUGAGCCGAUGUCGGAUUAGCUAGUUGGCGGGGUAAUGGCCCACCAAGGCGACGAUCCGUAGCUGGUCUGAGAGGAUGAUCAGCCACACUGGAACUGAGACACGGUCCAGACUCCUACGGGAGGCAGCAGUGGGGAAUAUUGGACAAUGGGCGCAAGCCUGAUCCAGCCAUACCGCGUGGGUGAAGAAGGCCUUCGGGUUGUAAAGCCCUUUUGUUGGGAAAGAAAUCUUUCAGGCUAAUACCCUGGGAGGAUGACGGUACCCAAAGAAUAAGCACCGGCUAACUUCGUG
RNAcentral lists this ribosomal RNA (490 nucleotides) under uncultured bacterium. RNAcentral describes it as "partial 16S ribosomal RNA". It matches the Rfam family "Bacterial small subunit ribosomal RNA", at positions 29 to 507 of the family's 1533-position model. The record is from RNAcentral.